GCAUGUAUACUUGCUAGAUACUGUCCCAAAAGAUAGACAAACAACUGAUGGACAACAAAACGAAACAAUUCUCCAUAUAGAGUAUCACUGGCACCAUUAUGGGCAAUUAACAUGCGCAGUGAACUUGAUAGUACGUGAUUUAAAGUUCGUUCGUCAUUUGAUCCCAAUUCGCAUUCAUUCAGAUAAUUGAAACAAGGCUGCGCAUUUCGAGUGGAAAUUGGUUACGAAAUUGCAAGUUUAGGCAACAGUCUAACACCAUGAAAUAGCAUUAUUUUACCUGACAAGAAAACGCUUUUGGAGGAAUCUGUGGACAACUGGCUAAAUGAAAUGGAACUGACCACUGAUGAGUUCUUGGAGCGCAUUGGCGGCUUUGGUCGCUACCAAAUCCUGCUUACCGUAUUUUCCAAUGUGGCUUAUAUGCUGUGGUGGGGCAUGCCUACGAUGGUCAUGUUAUUCAUUGCAGCAGAGCCUGGCUGGAAAUGUAAAAAUAACGCCACAUGUCCCUUUACGGAGAUCAAAAGACUAGGAGAUGAUAACUACUCCUUCAGAUGUGACAUUCCCAGAGAAGAUUGGGAAUUUGGAAAUGAUUUCACGUCAGUCGUCACCGAGUUCGACCUUGUCUGCGAGCGUGGCUCAUUUGGAUUCAUCUCAACCUCUGUUAUUUUCCUCGGAUUUUUUAUUGGUAGCAUCUGCGUGAGUACCAUAUCUGACAAGUUUGGCAGGAAGCAUCCGCUGUUCGUCUGCGGGUUCAUUUGUGCCAUUUUUAACUUUGCUUCGGUCUUCGCUCCAGCGUUUUGGGUGUUCGCCGUUUUCCGUUGUAUCAUCGGAUUCAUGCAAGGUAAGUCUUGUGUUUAGAAUUGAUAAAGCGGUUUCAGUGAUAUUGAAUGAAGUACGAAACGUAAUGUAAUGAACCGACGUAAUGCUUCGAGCUUAAGACACGGUCUGAGCCAAGCGCUGCAACAAAAGCGAGGUAAAAGUUGUCGCGCACAGGAUCGCAGCGACACUUAACACCUUAAGGUGGCUCACCAGGUUCCAGGCAAUUUUCGACACGUCUUCUUUGAUGGAUUAAUGUUUCCUCUCGAUCGCUUUUAUCUGAUGCUACAGUAAUGAUGUCAAACAAAUUCCCAUGGCAAAGGUAUAAGCGGUUAAAAUCAGUAUCAAUUUUAGAUUUAUGGGCUUACUUCUCAAACGCAAGUCUGGUGACUGCAAACUUUUGUUAUCAGAUUGUCACCAGCCUGUUAAAAUGCAACUUUUCGCAAAUUUUGGAAAAACUGCGGGAGCAGAUUCAGAGCCACCUUAUGUUUUCGCAAAUUAAAGUCGCUUGAAUAAGAAGCUUCUACAACUUUCUAAAACUUGAAAGAAAGUUACAUAAAAUUUUAACUUGCUUGUCACAAUUCGAAAACAAAUGUGGGGGUCACCGGACUCAUUUUCGAGUUAAAACUAAAAUUAAGGAUAUUUUUUAUCAGCUUAUUCCGUUGCUAUGGUAACCUGCAAUGUCAAGAAAAUGACUACAAUUUGUUCAACAGUGAUUCGGAUUUUGGUUGAUGUCAUAACGGUAGUGCAACUGAAAAGGGUAGUAGAAUGAAUAUAUCAAAGUAGACCUGCAGAAACGUGAUGGAAAUUCUGUUCUCAGCCACCUUAAUUGUCUGCACUCACUUGAGGAAGAGGAAUUUUUCUGGAAUAAUUUAGUCAACAGCCUUGCUUGAAUCUUUGUUUUUGUUGGAUUGUCAUUAUGUCUCUUAAAAGCGCCAUUUAUGAAAUGGAUGACAAAAAGGACUUAAAAGCAGCUCGCUCUAACGGUGACCCAUACCUAUAAAGGACAGAAAAAUUCGGAGACAGAAACUUUGGAGACGGCCUUACGUAUUUUAGUGACCUAAAUCUUGACGUGACGCAACAUCAUCGACGCGUAUGAUUUUGAAAAUUUGAUUGAAAUUCCGGUUUAUAUUACAUGCGGAUCUGACAACGCUAAAUAACUGCUAAAGAUGAUUAUAUUUAGUGCUAUGGGUUAGCUUUUCCAGCCACGCUAAUUAUUUUGGCUCGUUAGUGCUCUUAAAAAGUGUAAUUUUGGGGUCGAGUUUUGCUCUUUUCGGGGCAAAAUACGUAAGGCCGUCUCCACAAGAAAAUAAAAAUCCAAACAGCCUCACAGUUGAAAUAAGCUAGUAAAAAUCUUCUUGCCGACAAAGUUUGCGAUAAUAGAAUUUUUCUAUCCUGCAUAGGUAUAGGUGACCGCUACAGCAAGCUGCUCUUAAACUGUGAUCCAUAGCAAUAGAAAGAAAAUUGUACAUUAUUCACAGGAAAGUUGCCAACAUUUAAGUUUUUCUUGGAUAAUGUAACAGUAUUGAGACUGGCAAAUGUAUGGACUUAAACUGUUCCGUUCGUGACCUCUCACCAAACCUUGCAAAUCGUCCUUGGUCUUCGUCCGUCCGUCGCUCCCG
This 2435-nucleotide unclassified non-coding RNA is filed under the name Orbicella faveolata. RNAcentral's name for it is "organic cation/carnitine transporter 4-like, transcript variant X2". The record is from RNAcentral. Lineage: Eukaryota; Metazoa; Cnidaria; Anthozoa; Scleractinia; Merulinidae.